CCUACGGGGGGCUGCAGUGGGGGAUAUUGCACAAUGGGGGGAACCCUGAUGCAGCGACGCCGCGUGGGUGAAGGAGCGUUUCGGCGCGUAAAGCCCUAUCGGCAGGGAAGAAGGAGGACGGUACCUGACUAAGAAGCGCCGGCUAACUACGUGCCAGCAGCCGCGGUGAUACGUAGGGGGCGGGGGUUAUCCGGAUUUACUGGGUGUAACGGGGGCGCAGACGGCAGCGCAAGCCAGGAGUGAAAGCCCGGGGGCCAACCCCGGGACUGCACUUGGAACUGGGCGGCUGGAGUGAAGGAGGGGCAGGCGGAAUGCCUGGGGUAGCGGUGAAAUGCGUAGAUAUCAGGAGGAACACCGGUGGCGAAGGCGGCCUGCUGGACUGCGACUGACGUUGAGGCCCGAAAGCGUGGGGAGCAAACAGGAUUAGAUACCCGUGUAGUC
RNAcentral lists this ribosomal RNA (441 nucleotides) under uncultured bacterium. Its description in RNAcentral is "partial 16S ribosomal RNA". It matches the Rfam family "Bacterial small subunit ribosomal RNA", at positions 338 to 795 of the family's 1533-position model. The record is from RNAcentral.